RNAcentral lists this unclassified non-coding RNA (227 nucleotides) under Hevea brasiliensis (rubber tree). The record is from RNAcentral. Lineage: Eukaryota; Viridiplantae; Streptophyta; Magnoliopsida; Malpighiales; Euphorbiaceae.
GAGAUAAACUGCACAAGACUCGACUACAUAUUGGGCAGCUAGUGAAAGAUACUUCAGCUAAACUCAAGCAAGCGAGUGAAACGGAUCGCAAUGUUGGAGUUAGUACAACAAAAAAAAUUACUGAUGCAAAGCUCGCAAAGGAUUUUCAAGCAGUUCUGAAAGAGUUCCAAAAAGCUCAGCGCCUUGCAGCUGAAAGAGAGUCUGCGUAUGCCCCCCUUGUUCCACAA